RNAcentral lists this ribosomal RNA (253 nucleotides) under uncultured bacterium. RNAcentral's name for it is "partial 16S ribosomal RNA". It matches the Rfam family "Bacterial small subunit ribosomal RNA", at positions 524 to 776 of the family's 1533-position model. The record is from RNAcentral.
UACAGAGGUCCCGAGCGUUGUUCGGAUUCACUGGGCGUAAAGGGUGCGUAGGCGGUCGGGUAAGUCUAAUGUGAAAUCUCACAGCUUAACUGUGAAACUGCAUUGGAUACUAUUCGGCUUGAGGUCUGGAGGGGGGACUGGAAUUCUUGGUGUAGCAGUGAAAUGCGUAGAUAUCAAGAGGAACACCAGUGGCGAAGGCGAGUCCCUGGACAGGUCCUGACGCUGAGGCACGAAAGCUAGGGGAGCAAACAGG